UUUAGGACUCGAGACAUGGGCUGAAUAUCAAACAAUGUCUGGGUAUAGGAUAGAUCCAUACUUCUCUUUUGUUGCUAAGAUUUGAACUCUAGAAAGACAGUAUUGAGUCUUGAACUCUUCAUCAAUGUUUUAGACCUAUGUCUUAGCGCUCCAUC
This is a non-coding RNA of Populus trichocarpa (black cottonwood), 155 nucleotides long. The record is from Rfam. NCBI's taxonomy places the organism in Eukaryota, Viridiplantae, Streptophyta, Magnoliopsida, Malpighiales, Salicaceae.